UCUUGCCAUCUCCUGUUUGACCACUUUCAAUUUGCCUUGAUUCGUGGACCUACCAUUCCAGGUUCCUAUGCAAUAUUGCUCUUUACAGCAUCGGACUUUACUUCCAUCACCAGUCACAUCCCCAACUGGGUGUUGUGUUUGCUCUGUCUGUGUGUGUGUGUGUGUAUGUUAGAAGAAAACAACAA
Molecule: long non-coding RNA, 185 nt
Organism: Cervus elaphus (red deer)
Lineage: Eukaryota; Metazoa; Chordata; Mammalia; Artiodactyla; Cervidae
Exons: 4
Source: RefSeq, a predicted model, not a curated record